UCUGUAGCAAGGUUAACCGUAUAGGGGAGCCGUAGGGAAACCGAGUCUUAACCGGGCGUUAAGUUGCAGGGUAUAGACCCGAAACCCGGUGAUCUAGCCAUGGGCAGGUUGAAGGUUGGGUAACACUAACUGGAGGACCGAACCGACUAAUGUUGAAAAAUUAGCGGAUGACCUGUGGCUGGGGGUGAAAGGCCAAUCAAACCGGGAGAUAGCUGGUUCUCCCCGAAAGCUAUUUAGGUAGCGCCUCGUGAAUUCAUCUCCGGGGGUAGAGCACUGUUUCGGCUAGGGGGCCAUCCCGGCUUACCAACCCGAUGCAAACUGCGAAUACCGGAGAAUGUUAUCACGGGAGACACACGGCGGGUGCUAACGUCCGUCGUGAAGAGGGAAACAACCCAGACCGCCAGCUAAGGUCCCAAAGUCAUGGUUAAGUGGGAAACGAUGUGGGAAGGCCCAGACAGCCAGGAUGUUGGCUUAGAAGCAGCCAUCAUUUAAAGAAAGCGUAAUAGCUCACUGGUCGAGUCGGCCUGCGCGGAAGAUGUAACGGGGCUAAACCAUGCACCGAAGCUGCGGCAGCGAACGUAUCACCCAAGACAACUUUACGGAGUUGACGAUUGACGGAGCGAAGCGACGUCAAAGCGUUCAUUAAAGUCGAGUUGGCUUAGGGAUACGUUCGUUGGGUAGGGGAGCGUUCUGUAAGCCUGUGAAGGUGUGUCGUGAGGCAUGCUGGAGGUAUCAGAAGUGCGAAUGCUGACAUAAGUAACGAUAAAGCGGGUGAAAAGCCCGCUCGCCGGAAGACCAAGGGUUCCUGUCCAACGUUAAUCGGGGCAGGGUGAGUCGACCCCUAAGGCGAGGCCGAAAGGCGUAGUCGAUGGGAAACGGGUUAAUAUUCCCGUACUUGGUGUUACUGCGAAGGGGGGACGGAGAAGGCUAUGUUGGCCGGGCGACGGUUGUCCCGGUUUAAGCGUGUAGGUGUGUGUUCCAGGUAAAUCCGGUUCACUUUAACACUGAGGCGUGACGACGAGGCACUACGGUGCUGAAGCAACAAAUGCCCUGCUUCCAGGAAAAGCCUCUAAGCAUCAGGUAACACGAAAUCGUACCCCAAACCGACACAGGUGGUCAGGUAGAGAAUACCAAGGCGCUUGAGAGAACUCGGGUGAAGGAACUAGGCAAAAUGGUGCCGUAACUUCGGGAGAAGGCACGCUGACACGUAGGUGAAGUGAUUUACUCAUGGAGCUGAAGUCAGUCGAAGAUACCAGCUGGCUGCAACUGUUUAUUAAAAACACAGCACUGUGCAAACACGAAAGUGGACGUAUACGGUGUGACGCCUGCCCGGUGCCGGAA
Molecule: ribosomal RNA, 1341 nt
Filed under: Salmonella enterica
Lineage: Bacteria; Pseudomonadati; Pseudomonadota; Gammaproteobacteria; Enterobacterales; Enterobacteriaceae
Description: partial 23S ribosomal RNA
Rfam family: Bacterial large subunit ribosomal RNA
Source: RNAcentral